This 250-nucleotide unclassified non-coding RNA is filed under the name plant metagenome. Its description in RNAcentral is "partial contains small subunit ribosomal RNA, internal transcribed spacer 1, and 5.8S ribosomal RNA". The record is from RNAcentral.
GUAGGUGAACCUGCGGAAGGAUCAUUACAAAAACAAAAUCCAAACCACACCAAAUGUGCUCUAUAAAUGCGAAAAGCUGUCUUUGUGUGUUGUAUGUUGUGUGAGAGGAGAAAAUUUAUUUUUCUUUUCAUACACACACACACGCACACACACAAUCCUUCUUUUCUGCAUUGUCUUUGUUUAUCAAUUUUUUCAUUAACUCCUUGUUUAUAACCAACAACGGAUUACAAUGUUAAAACUUGAAACAAAA